CCCUUCGGGGGGGAUCAGUGGCGAACGGGUGAGUAACACGUGAGCAACCUGCCCCUGACUCUGGGAUAACCCCGGGAAACCGGAGCUAAUACCGGAUAUGACACGCUCGGGCAUCCGAUGCGUGUGGAAAGAUUUAUCGGUUGGGGAUGGGCUCGGGGCCUAUCAGCUUGUUGGUGGGGUAACGGCCUACCAAGGCGACGACGGGUAGCCGGCCUGAGAGGGCGACCGGCCACACCGGGACUGAGACACGGCCCAGACUCCUACGGGAGGCAGCAGUGGGGAAUAUUGCGCAAUGGGCGAAAGCCUGACGCAGCGACGCCGCGUGAGGGAUGAAGGCCUUCGGGUUGUAAACCUCUUUCAGCAGGGAAGAAGCGCAAGUGACGGUACCUGCAAAAAAAGCACCGGCUAACUACGUGCCAGCAGCCGCGGUAAUACGUAGGGUGCAAGCGUUGUCCGGAAUUAUUGGGCGUAAAGAGCUCGUAGGCGGUCUGUCGCGUCUGCUGUGAAAACUCGGGGCUUAACCCCGGGCCUGCUUCCGAUACGGGCAAACUAGAGGGAUGCAGGGGAAAACGGAAUUCCUGGUGGAGCGGUGGAAUGC
This 598-nucleotide ribosomal RNA is filed under the name uncultured bacterium. Its description in RNAcentral is "bacterial SSU rRNA". It matches the Rfam family "Bacterial small subunit ribosomal RNA", at positions 76 to 689 of the family's 1533-position model. The record is from RNAcentral.